RNAcentral lists this ribosomal RNA (442 nucleotides) under uncultured bacterium. RNAcentral's name for it is "partial 16S ribosomal RNA". It matches the Rfam family "Bacterial small subunit ribosomal RNA", at positions 338 to 795 of the family's 1533-position model. The record is from RNAcentral.
CCUACGGGUGGCAGCAGUGGGGAAUAUUGGGCAAUGGGCGCAAGCCUGACCCAGCAACGCCGCGUGAAGGAAGAAGGCUCUUCGGUUGUAAACUUCUUUUAAUAGGGAAGAGCAGUAGACGGUACCUCUUGAAUAAGCCACGGCUAACUACGUGCCAGCAGCCGGGGUAAUACGUAGGUGGCAAGCGUUGUCCGGAUUUACUGGGUGGAAAGGGCGUGCAGCUGGGAAGGCAAGUCAGUCGUGAAAUCCCGCGGCUCAACCGCGGAACUGCAUUUGAAACUGUUUGACUUGAGUACCGGAGGGGGCAUCGGAAUUCCUGGUGUAGCAGUGAAAUGCGUAGAUAUAAGGAAGAACACCAGUGGCGAAGGCGGAUGACUGGACAGCAACUGACGGUGAAGCGCGAAGGCGUGGGGAGCGAACGGGAUUAGAUACCCGUGUAGUC